This 454-nucleotide ribosomal RNA is filed under the name uncultured bacterium. RNAcentral's name for it is "bacterial SSU rRNA". It matches the Rfam family "Bacterial small subunit ribosomal RNA", at positions 923 to 1379 of the family's 1533-position model. The record is from RNAcentral.
GCACAAGCGGUGGAGCAUGUGGUUUAAUUCGACGCAACGCGCAGAACCUUACCAGGGUUUGACAUCCUGUGCUCACCGGUGAAAGCCGGUUUCCCCGCAAGGGGCGCAGAGACAGGUGCUGCAUGGCUGUCGUCAGCUCGUGUCGUGAGAUGUUGGGUUAAGUCCCGCAACGAGCGCAACCCUCGCCUUUAGUUGCCAUCAUUAAGUUGGGCACUCUAGAGGGACCGCCGGCGACAAGCCGGAGGAAGGUGGGGAUGACGUCAAGUCCUCAUGGCCCCUACACCCUGGGCUACACACGUGCUACAAUGGCGGUGACAGUGAGCAGCUAGUCCGCGAGGACAUGCUAAUCUCUAAAAACCGUCCCAGUUCAGAUUGCACUCUGCAACUCGAGUGCAUGAAGGUGGAAUCGCUAGUAAUCGCAGAACAGCAGGCUGCGGUGAAUACGUUCCCGGGC